ACCUGCGGAGGGAUCAUUACCGAGUUUACAACUCCCAAACCCCUGUGAACAUACCACUUGUUGCCUCGGCGGAUCAGCCCGCUCCCGGUAAAACGGGACGGCCCGCCAGAGGACCCCUAAACUCUGUUUCUAUAUGUAACUUCUGAGUAAAACCAUAAAUAAAUCAAAACUUUCAACAACGGAUCUCUUGGUUCUGGCAUCGAUGAAGAACGCAGCAAAAUGCGAUAAGUAAUGUGAAUUGCAGAAUUCAGUGAAUCAUCGAAUCUUUGAACGCACAUUGCGCCCGCCAGUAUUCUGGCGGGCAUGCCUGUUCGAGCGUCAUUUCAACCCUCAAGCACAGCUUGGUGUUGGGACUCGCGUUAAUUCGCGUUCCUCAAAUUGAUUGGCGGUCACGUCGAGCUUCCAUAGCGUAGUAGUAAAACCCUCGUUACUGGUAAUCGUCGCGGCCACGCCGUUAAACCCCAACUUCUGAAUGUUGACCUCGGAUCAGGUAGGAAUACCCGCUGAACUUAAGCAUAUCAAAGUCGGAGGAA
RNAcentral lists this ribosomal RNA (533 nucleotides) under Fusarium oxysporum f. sp. ciceris. RNAcentral's name for it is "eukaryotic LSU rRNA". The stretch from base 168 to 321 matches the Rfam family "5.8S ribosomal RNA". Lineage: Eukaryota; Fungi; Ascomycota; Sordariomycetes; Hypocreales; Nectriaceae. The record is from RNAcentral.